This 216-nucleotide ribosomal RNA is filed under the name Glomeromycotina sp. RNAcentral's name for it is "partial small subunit ribosomal RNA". The stretch from base 40 to 216 matches the Rfam family "Eukaryotic small subunit ribosomal RNA", at positions 686 to 864 of the family's 1831-position model. The record is from RNAcentral. Lineage: Eukaryota; Fungi; Glomeromycota.
GGGUCAGUAGGUUGGUCGUGCCACCGGUACGUACUGGUCUCACUGAUUCCUCCUUCCUGAAGAACCGUAAUGCCAUUAAUUUGGUGUUGCGGGGAAACAGGACUGUUACUUUGAAAAAAUUAUAGUGUUUAAAGCAAGCUAACGCUUGAAUACAUUAGCACGGAAUAAUGAAAUAGGACGAUCGAUCCUAUUUUGUUGGUUUCUAGGAUUGACGUA